This 714-nucleotide ribosomal RNA is filed under the name bacterium enrichment culture clone ADE_37. Its description in RNAcentral is "bacterial SSU rRNA". It matches the Rfam family "Bacterial small subunit ribosomal RNA", at positions 1 to 716 of the family's 1533-position model. The record is from RNAcentral.
UAGAGUUUGAUCCUGGCUCAGAUUGAACGCUGGCGGCAUGCCUUACACAUGCAAGUCGAACGGCAGCACGGGCUUCGGCCUGGUGGCGAGUGGCGAACGGGUGAGUAAUACAUCGGAACGUGCCCUGUAGUGGGGGAUAACUAGUCGAAAGAUUAGCUAAUACCGCAUACGACCUGAGGGUGAAAGCGGGGGACCGCAAGGCCUCGCGCUACAGGAGCGGCCGAUGUCUGAUUAGCUAGUUGGUGGGGUAAAAGCCUACCAAGGCGACGAUCAGUAGCUGGUCUGAGAGGACGAUCAGCCACACUGGGACUGAGACACGGCCCAGACUCCUACGGGAGGCAGCAGUGGGGAAUUUUGGACAAUGGGGGCAACCCUGAUCCAGCAAUGCCGCGUGUGUGAAGAAGGCCUUCGGGUUGUAAAGCACUUUUGUCCGGAAAGAAAUGGCUCUGGUUAAUACCCGGGGUCGAUGACGGUACCGGAAGAAUAAGCACCGGCUAACUACGUGCCAGCAGCCGCGGUAAUACGUAGGGUGCGAGCGUUAAUCGGAAUUACUGGGCGUAAAGCGUGCGCAGGCGGUUUUGUAAGACAGGCGUGAAAUCCCCGAGCUCAACUUGGGAAUGGCGCUUGUGACUGCAAGGCUAGAGUAUGUCAGAGGGGGGUAGAAUUCCACGUGUAGCAGUGAAAUACGUAGAGAUGUGGAGGAAUACCGAUGGC